This 478-nucleotide ribosomal RNA is filed under the name uncultured bacterium. RNAcentral describes it as "partial 16S ribosomal RNA". It matches the Rfam family "Bacterial small subunit ribosomal RNA", at positions 28 to 523 of the family's 1533-position model. The record is from RNAcentral.
GACGAACGCUGGCGGCGUGCUUAACACAUGCAAGUCGAACGGUAAGGCCCUUCGGGGUACACGAAUGGCGAACGGGUGAGUAACACGUGGGUGAUCUGCCCUGCACUUCGGGAUAAGCCUGGGAAACUGGGUCUAAUACCGGAUAGGACUCCGGACUGCAUGGUCUGGGGUGGAAAGCUUUUGCGGUGUGGGAUGGGCCCGCGGCCUGUCAGCUUGUUGGUGGGGUGAUGGCCUACCAAGGCGACGACGGGUAGCCGGCCUGAGAGGGUGACCGGCCCCACUGGGACUGCGAUACGGCCCAGACGCGUAAGGGAGGCAGCAGUGGGGAAUAUUGCACAAUGGGCGCAAGACUGAUGCAGCGACGCCGCGUGAGGGAUGACGGCCUUCGGGUUGUAAACCUCUUUCAGCAUCGACGAAGCGAGAGUGACGGUAGGUGCAGAAGAAGGACCGGCCAACUACGUGCCAGCAGCCGCCGUAA